RNAcentral lists this ribosomal RNA (460 nucleotides) under uncultured bacterium. Its description in RNAcentral is "partial 16S ribosomal RNA". It matches the Rfam family "Bacterial small subunit ribosomal RNA", at positions 338 to 795 of the family's 1533-position model. The record is from RNAcentral.
CCUACGGGUGGCAGCAGUGAGGAAUAUUGGUCAAUGGGCGCGAGCCUGAACCAGCCAAGUAGCGUGAAGGAUGACUGCCCUACGGGUUGUAAACUUCUUUUAUAAAGGAAUAAAGUGAGGCACGUGUGCCUUUUUGUAUGUACUUUAUGAAUAAGGAUCGGCUAACUCCGUGCCAGCAGCCGCGGUAAUACGGAGGAUCCGAGCGUUAGCCGGAUUUAUUGGGUUUAAAGGGAGCGUAGAUGGGUUGUUAAGUCAGUUGUGAAAGUUUGCGGCUCAACCGUAAAAUUGCAAUUGAUACUGUGAGUCUUGAGUACCGUUGAGGUAGACGGAAUUCCUAGUGUAGCGGUGAAAUGCUUAGAUAUCACGAAGCACUCCGAUUGCGACGGCAGCUUACUAAACUGCCACUGACAUUGAUGCUCGAAAGUGUGGGUAUCAAACAGGAUUAGAUACCCCUGUAGUC